Molecule: ribosomal RNA, 254 nt
Filed under: uncultured bacterium
Lineage: Bacteria
Description: partial 16S ribosomal RNA
Rfam family: Bacterial small subunit ribosomal RNA
Source: RNAcentral
UACGUAGGGGCCAAGCGUUGUCCGGAUUUAUUGGGCGUAAAGAGCUCGUAGGCGGUUGGGUAAGUCGGGUGUGAAAACUCCAGGCUCAACUUGGAGAUGCCACCCGAUACUGCUCUGACUUGAGUUCGGUAGGGGAGUGGGGAAUUCCUGGUGUAGCGGUGAAAUGCGCAGAUAUCAGGAAGAACACCCGUGGCGAAGGCGGCUCUCUGGGACGGUACUGACGCUGAGACGCGAAAGCGUGGGGAGCGAACAGG